This 1317-nucleotide ribosomal RNA is filed under the name Vibrio ichthyoenteri. RNAcentral describes it as "bacterial LSU rRNA". It matches the Rfam family "Bacterial large subunit ribosomal RNA", at positions 1585 to 2878 of the family's 2925-position model. The record is from RNAcentral. Lineage: Bacteria; Pseudomonadati; Pseudomonadota; Gammaproteobacteria; Vibrionales; Vibrionaceae.
GUGAAGUCAUUGAUGCCAUGCUUCCAGGAAAAGCCUCUAAGCUUCAGAUUGUAAGGAAUCGUACCCCAAACCGACACAGGUGGUCGGGUAGAGAAUACCAAGGCGCUUGAGAGAACUCGGGUGAAGGAACUAGGCAAAAUGGUACCGUAACUUCGGGAGAAGGUACGCUCUUGACGGUGAAGUCCCUUGCGGAUGGAGCUAUUGAGAGUCGCAGAUACCAGGUGGCUGCAACUGUUUAUUAAAAACACAGCACUGUGCAAAAUCGUAAGAUGACGUAUACGGUGUGACGCCUGCCCGGUGCCGGAAGGUUAAUUGAUGGGGUUAGUGCUUGCACGAAGCUCUUGAUCGAAGCCCCGGUAAACGGCGGCCGUAACUAUAACGGUCCUAAGGUAGCGAAAUUCCUUGUCGGGUAAGUUCCGACCUGCACGAAUGGCGUAAUGAUGGCCACGCUGUCUCCACCCGAGACUCAGUGAAAUUGAAAUCGCUGUGAAGAUGCAGUGUACCCGCGGCUAGACGGAAAGACCCCGUGAACCUUUACUACAGCUUGGCACUGAACAUUGACCCUACAUGUGUAGGAUAGGUGGGAGGCUUUGAACCCGGUACGCCAGUAUCGGUGGAGCCGUCCUUGAAAUACCACCCUUGUAGUGUUGAUGUUCUAACGUUGACCCCUUAUCGGGGUUGCGGACAGUGCCUGGUGGGUAGUUUGACUGGGGCGGUCUCCUCCCAAAGAGUAACGGAGGAGCACGAAGGUGGGCUAAUCACGGUUGGACAUCGUGAGGUUAGUGCAAUGGCAUAAGCCCGCUUGACUGCGAGAAUGACAAUUCGAGCAGGUGCGAAAGCAGGUCAUAGUGAUCCGGUGGUUCUGAAUGGAAGGGCCAUCGCUCAACGGAUAAAAGGUACUCCGGGGAUAACAGGCUGAUACCGCCCAAGAGUUCAUAUCGACGGCGGUGUUUGGCACCUCGAUGUCGGCUCAUCACAUCCUGGGGCUGAAGUCGGUCCCAAGGGUAUGGCUGUUCGCCAUUUAAAGUGGUACGCGAGCUGGGUUUAGAACGUCGUGAGACAGUUCGGUCCCUAUCUGCCGUGGGCGUUGGAAGAUUGAAGGGGGCUGCUCCUAGUACGAGAGGACCGGAGUGGACGAACCUCUGGUGUUCGGGUUGUGUCGCCAGACGCAUUGCCCGGUAGCUAAGUUCGGAAUCGAUAACCGCUGAAAGCAUCUAAGCGGGAAGCGAGCCCUGAGAUGAGUCUUCCCUGACCCCUUGAGGGUCCUAAAGGGUUGUUCGAGACUAGAACGUUGAUAGGCAGGGUGUGUAAGUGCUG